This 445-nucleotide ribosomal RNA is filed under the name uncultured bacterium. RNAcentral describes it as "partial 16S ribosomal RNA". It matches the Rfam family "Bacterial small subunit ribosomal RNA", at positions 354 to 796 of the family's 1533-position model. The record is from RNAcentral.
GUGAGGAAUAUUGCGCAAUGGAGGCAACUCUGACGCAGCCAUGCCGCGUGCAGGAAGAAGGCGCUACGCGUUGUAAACUGCUUUUAACCGGGAAGAAACCCCAGGACGUGUCCUGGGUUGACGGUACCGGUGGAAUAAGCACCGGCUAACUUCGUGCCAGCAGCCGCGGUAAUACGAAGGGUGCAAGCGUUAUCCGGAUUCAUUGGGUUUAAAGGGUGCGUAGGCGGAGCGUUAAGUCAGUGGUGAAAUCCUGCAGCUUAACUGUAGACUUGCCAUUGAUACUGGCGCUCUUGAGUGCGCUUGAAGUGGGCGGAAUGUGCCGUGUAGCGGUGAAAUGCUUAGAUAUGGCACAGAACACCAAUUGCGAAGGCAGCUCACUAAGGCGAUACUGACGCUGAGGCACGAAAGCGUGGGGAUCGAACAGGAUUAGAAACCCGGGUAGUCC